RNA transcript from Papaver somniferum (opium poppy), 1129 nucleotides. RefSeq lists it as uncharacterized. Lineage: Eukaryota; Viridiplantae; Streptophyta; Magnoliopsida; Ranunculales; Papaveraceae. The record is from RefSeq and is a predicted model, not a curated record. The transcript has 6 exons.
ACCAGUGGAAGAUUUUUUAUUUAUUAUUAGUAAUUUUUUUUUUUACUCUAAAUAACUUCCAGAAAUCAAAAGAUAAAUUGAAGGGAGUAAAUCACGAGGCAGCAGAUCCUCUGGUGCCGGAUUAGUACCUGUCCCUCUGUCCCCACCUAUCAAGGCGGUUUUAAUUUCAAAGUUAUAUAGUAACCAUACAAAUGUUCUUCAAUUCAUUCAUUCAUAGAAGAAAGAAAGGCUUCUUUUUUUUCUUCUUCUAUCAAGGAAACAUAGAUUUCUGAUUUAUGUUUCAGUUUGGGUGCUGCUGAAAAGGAUUCACUAUUAAGGUUAUUCUCCAUCUCUAAAACGAAAAGGGUGGAUUUUUACUCAAUCUCUUCUUAGUUUUUCUUUUAUCGCUCUUUCAAUUCAACUGCGGGAUUUUAAUUUUAGGGAUUUUUGGUUUCAGGGUCACUGUGAAGAGAAGAGCUGAUGGUAAUAACUAAACUAAUCAAACCUAUUUUUGAUUCUUCAUUUUUGAUCAUGAUUUUAGGCAUUCGGGGUUGGCUGUUGGCAGUGGACAGCGGCGGAAGCACAGCAAGACUUCCCCUGCAUUGUCGAAGUGUUUAGUCUUUGCCAGUUCUGUGUAAAUUAGGACCCUGCACUUUAGUUGUUUGUGGAAAUGCCCACGAGAGGAGAACUUGUAUAAUUGUAUUGCCUGCCAGGUAUUCAUCAAAGAAGUGCAUUAAGGAAUCUCUGCCCCAUAUUUGUUGGAAACAGCAGUCGUCGUUAAAGAGAAUAAGAGUGCCCGAAAAAGAACAUGAUGUACAGUUUUGCUAUUAGGACUUUCCGAUGUUCUUUUAAGAGGGAGAAGCUAAUGAUGGCUAAAGAAUACCUGCGCAAAGGCUUCAUUCCCGAGAUCUCCCAACGGUGAAGGAGGAUCUUAUGACGUCAAUGGAAAAGAGUUACGCCCAUCCUUGGGUUGGACCUCAGAGAUGGGUUGGACUGCACCCAUAUCCAAGAGGAAUACAGGAUGAGUUGGCGAAUGAAAAUGCAGAAACAUCCAACCUAAGAAACAAGCUUGACUGGAUAACUUUAUGAGUGCAUUUAUUUACGGUUGGGUUUGCAAAGUGAGAUUAUUGGCAUUGAUUGAAUAUUAUUU